Molecule: ribosomal RNA, 445 nt
Filed under: uncultured bacterium
Lineage: Bacteria
Description: partial 16S ribosomal RNA
Rfam family: Bacterial small subunit ribosomal RNA
Source: RNAcentral
GUGAGGAAUAUUGGUCAAUGGGCGGAAGCCUGAACCAGCCAUCCCGCGUGGAGGAAGACGGCCCUAUGGGUUGUAAACUUCUUUUCAAGGGGAAGAAAGUUCGCGACGUGUCGCGAUUUGCCGGUACCUUUGGAAUAAGCAUCGGCUAACUCCGUGCCAGCAGCCGCGGUAAUACGGAGGAUGCGAGCGUUAUCCGGAUGUAUUGGGUUUAAAGGGUGCGUAGGCCGAUCGAUAAGUCAGCGGUGAAAUACCAUGGCCCAACCAUGGAACUGCCGUUGAUACUGUCGGUCUUGAAUAUGGUCAAGGUAGGCGGAAUGUGUAAUGUAGCGGUGAAAUGCUUAGAUAUUACACAGAACACCGAUUGCGAAGGCAGCUUACUGGUCCAUUAUUGACGCUGAGGCACGAAAGCGUGGGGAUCGAACAGGAUUAGAUACCCCAGUAGUCC